GAUGAACGCUGGCGGCGUGCCUAAUACAUGCAAGUCGAGCGAACAGAUAAGGAGCUUGCUCCUUUGAAGUUAGCGGCGGACGGGUGAGUAACACGUGGGUAACCUACCUAUAAGACUGGGAUAACUUCGGGAAACCGGAGCUAAUACCGGAUAACAUUUAGAACCGCAUGGUCCUAAAGUGAAAGAUGGUUUUGCUAUCACUUAUAGAUGGACCCGCGCCGUAUUAGCUAGUUGGUAAGGUAACGGCUUACCAAGGCGACGAUACGUAGCCGACCUGAGAGGGUGAUCGGCCACACUGGAACUGAGACACGGUCCAGACUCCUACGGGAGGCAGCAGUAGGGAAUCUUCCGCAAUGGGCGAAGGCCCGACGGAGCAACGCCGCGUGAGUGAUGAAGGGUUUCGGCUCGUAAAACUCUGUUAUUAGGGAAGAACAAAUGUGUGAGUAACUGUGCACAUCUUGACGGUACCUAAUCAGAAAGCCACGGCUAACUACGUGCCAGCAGCCGCGGUAAUACGUAGGUGGCAAGCGUUAUCCGGAAUUAUUGGGCGUAAAGCGCGCGUAGGCGGUUUCUUAAGUCUGAUGUGAAAGCCCACGGCUCAACCGUGGAGGGUCAUUGGAAACUGGGAAACUUGAGUGCAGAAGAGGAAAGUGGAAUUCCAUGUGUAGCGGUGAAAUGCGCAGAGAUAUGGAGGAACACCAGUGGCGAAGGCGACUUUCUGGUCUGUAACUGACGCUGAUGUGCGAAAGCGUGGGGAUCAAACAGGAUUAGAUACCCUGGUAGUCCACGCCGUAAACGAUGAGUGCUAAGUGUUAGGGGGUUUCCGCCCCUUAGUGCUGCAGCUAACGCAUUAAGCACUCCGCCUGGGGAGUACGACCGCAAGGUUGAAACUCAAAGGAAUUGACGGGGACCCGCACAAGCGGUGGAGCAUGUGGUUUAAUUCGAAGCAACGCGAAGAACCUUACCAAAUCUUGACAUCCUUUGAAAACUCUAGAGAUAGAGCCUUCCCCUUCGGGGGACAAAGUGACAGGUGGUGCAUGGUUGUCGUCAGCUCGUGUCGUGAGAUGUUGGGUUAAGUCCCGCAACGAGCGCAACCCUUAAGCUUAGUUGCCAUCAUUAAGUUGGGCACUCUAGGUUGACUGCCGGUGACAAACCGGAGGAAGGUGGGGAUGACGUCAAAUCAUCAUGCCCCUUAUGAUUUGGGCUACACACGUGCUACAAUGGACAAUACAAAGGGCAGCUAAACCGCGAGGUCAUGCAAAUCCCAUAAAGUUGUUCUCAGUUCGGAUUGUAGUCUGUAACUCGACUACAUGAAGCUGGAAUCGCUAGUAAUCGUAGAUCAGCAUGCUACGGUGAAUACGUUCCCGGGUCU
This 1372-nucleotide ribosomal RNA is filed under the name uncultured bacterium. RNAcentral's name for it is "bacterial SSU rRNA". It matches the Rfam family "Bacterial small subunit ribosomal RNA", at positions 28 to 1381 of the family's 1533-position model. The record is from RNAcentral.